This 2636-nucleotide unclassified non-coding RNA is filed under the name Manduca sexta (tobacco hornworm). RNAcentral's name for it is "decapping and exoribonuclease protein, transcript variant X2". The record is from RNAcentral. Lineage: Eukaryota; Metazoa; Arthropoda; Insecta; Lepidoptera; Sphingidae.
UUCUAAUAGAUAAGUUCGUUAUUGUGGGUAUAGUUCAUUAUCUUGUCCGAGUUCUAAUAUUUCAAAAAUGGACAUGCAGGAAGUUAGACAUCCUAAUCCGAGGAAUCAAAGAAAUAAUAGAGAAGUUUGUCCACAUUUUCCUAAAAUAGUAGGAUAUAUGAGUGUUGACAAAGAACGAGAGUCUCAUUCAGACUUAUCACAAUUAAAAUUUGUAACAACGAUCCCUCAAGGAAGAGCGCAUAUGGAUCUUAACUACAACUUAGAUAAUUCUGUGAAAUGCCCUAUUGACAAUAAUGAGAAGAAAAUUGAUCUCGUAUUAAAAUAUCUGAUAGAGCACAAGGAUCAAUAUGAUGAAUUACAAAAAACUGAAUUAACAAUUAUAACACACAGACAUACGCUGAUUAAUAUUAUGUGCACUGCGUUUAAAUUUUCUCAUCCGAUACGAGUAAUGGCAUGUUUUUACAAAAAAUGUAUUUAUAUUUGGUCUAUGGAUACCUCACAAGACUUUGAUCACAGAAUAUUUAGGAGCGAUCAAACGGAGAAAUCUCGGGAUUGGGACUACAAAUUUAAACAGUACAUGUCGUCAGACUUGCCAAACACAUUUCCUGACUUACACAAGCCCGUUAUUGAAAAUGAGGAGUUUUCAUUAUAUAUCAAAUCACAAGUAGCAGACCACAAUCUAUUUUACCGUGCACAAAUAGAUGGAAUGCUCGCAACAAACAAGAAAAUUCCUGAACCUCCGAAUACAAAUGAUUUUGAAACAAACAUGAAAUAUAUAAGCGAUAACAAUAAUUUUGUAGACCUAAAAUCCACUAAACAGGUGACCAGUAGAAGAAUUGAAGAGGAUUUCAGGAAUUUAAAAUUGCUAAAAUGCUGGUGCCGAUGCUAUUUAACUAAUCUAAGUGUAGUCAUUGGAUUUAGAGAUGAUGCAGGUACAGUAGUUUCACUCAAAUGGUUGGCUGUUGACGAAAUGGCUGAAUGUUUAAAGCUGGGAUGGGAUCCACAGAGGGCUGUAACUUAUUUGGGUAACUUCAUAACGUUUAUCAAGAAAACUUUUACUGACCACAUGAGAAGCAAGUCUACACCUGAAACAUCUGGUCCCAUAUCAAUGCAGUUUGACACUGAGUUUGGCAAAAGAAUGACUGUGACGCGGAAUUCUAAUUCAGAUAAUAACAUUUUGCCUGAAUGGUAUCUAGAAGCCAUGAAUCAAUAAAUAUUAAUAAUAACAUUUCUUUUUGGAUUCUGUGUGUAUGUUUAUAAACUCACAGGAAAUAGACUGCGUGGAAUAUUUACAAUUAUUGUGUUACGCGCGCUGUUUAAGUGCUGCCACUGCAAAUUUGCCAUGAAGGGUUGAUGGAUCGCACAAGACCUGUGUAGCUAUGCAGCUCGUGUGCACUAUAUUCAGUUGACUCUUUGUACGCUUUGUUGUAAGGUCGCUUCUGAUGACGUAACACGAUAACAUUAGUGCAGAUUGCAGAGUCGCAAUGCGAGCAGCGAGUACUUACUCAACGUGCGAGCGACUCGCUACCUGAUUAGAAAAUUAAUACUGGAAACCAAACGGCGCUUCACAAUGGUUUAAAGCUGCCAUUGAUCUUAGCUAUUUUACGACGUGAAACCCUCGCUCAACAAUAGCACCACAAGUGGUAUUGUUGAUCGAACCGUGAAGCUCAAGCGCACGUGGUGUUAUUUUAACAGUUUAUAUCUAAUGUUAUAGGUAUAAUAUGCACAAAGCCAGGUGCUUGGUUUUCAACAACGUUAAUCACAUGCGUAAACCAUAAACGCAUGUUAUUCGAACGGGACCUUAGAAAGCGUUCUGAUAAUUAUAGGUGUUGUUUUACAAUUAGGUAUGUAUGAAAAAAGUUUUUAUAAUAAAACUAGGUAAUAUCGAACUUUCCAGAGAUAAACUAGUUUAUUUUCUUGUCAAUGAGUAUUAUUGUCAAUUACGGUCUUUGAUUACUGUUAUAUAUAUUGAUUACAUAUAAUUCUCUUUGAUUACUGUUCUCACAGGUGUAAACUGCAUUUGACGUAUCCAAAAAAAACAAAGAUGUUAAUAAAAUUUUGGUAAUUUUGUAGAAGUAAAUACAAUUAAAAUGAUUAAAAAAUAAGAAAUGUAACAAAACCUUAGAAUAAUGGGCCAAAUAGAGGAAGUCAAAUCAUCGCCGAAAACGGCCAAAAGUGCUGCACCCGUUAAAAAAGCAUCAUCGGGCUCUUCAACUAAAGCGGCAAAGAAAAUUAAAUCUGAAUCGCUAAGCCUCUCGGACCCUAAGAUCCAAGGAGUGUUGCUUGUCGGCCUUCUGGCAGUUCUGGUUUUGGCGUUAUGGUUUGGCUUUACUCGAGGCUGCUUCCGUCGCCGUCGUCGUAGAAGAUCUUCUUGUUGCCAGUACGUUCAUGCCGGUAAAGGGAACACAAGAUGCGGACUGGCCAAGAUAACGUCUGAAUAUAAUACUUACCUACCUAUAGAAUAUUAUGCUUCGAAUACAGCUCUUGAAAUGAACGGUGUCGCCGCACGAAUAAUUGGAAAUGGAAAUCCUGAUCUGAUGAAUGGAAUUGGAAAUCCUGCAGGGAGUGCUGUUACUCGAUUAAUCUGAAAUCAUGUAUUAAACAAUGUAUACCACAAAUAAAAAUCGAAAAAUAUA